RNAcentral lists this ribosomal RNA (451 nucleotides) under uncultured Bacillota bacterium. RNAcentral's name for it is "bacterial SSU rRNA". It matches the Rfam family "Bacterial small subunit ribosomal RNA", at positions 927 to 1382 of the family's 1533-position model. The record is from RNAcentral. Lineage: Bacteria; Bacillati; Bacillota.
AAGCGGUGGAGUAUGUUGUUUAAUUCGAAGAUACACGAAGAACCUUACCAGGUCUUGACAUACCAUUGACAGGUGCAGAGAUGUACCCUUCUUCGGACAAUGGAUACAGGUGGUGCAUGGUUGUCGUCAGCUCGUGCCGUGAGGUGUUGGGUUAAGUCCCGCAACGAGCGCAACCCCUAUUGCUAGUUGCUAACAUUCAGUUGAGGACUCUAGUGAGACUGCCAGUGAUAAACUGGAGGAAGGUGGGAUGACGUCAAAUCAUCAUGCCCUUUAUGACCUGGGCUACAAACGUACUACAAUGGCCAAUACAAAGAGAUGCGAAGUCGCGAGAUGGAGCGAACCUCAUAAAAAUGGUCUCAGUUCGGAUUGGAGUCUGCAACUCGACUCCAUGAAGUUGGAAUCGCUAGUAAUCGCGUAUCAGCAUGACGCGGUGAAUACGUUCCCGGGCCUU